RNAcentral lists this ribosomal RNA (230 nucleotides) under uncultured bacterium. RNAcentral describes it as "partial 16S ribosomal RNA". It matches the Rfam family "Bacterial small subunit ribosomal RNA", at positions 57 to 305 of the family's 1533-position model. The record is from RNAcentral.
GCAAGUCGAACGAUAAUGUUACUUCGGUAACAGGAAAGUGGCGCACGGGUGAGUAACGCGUAGAGAUCUACCAAGCAGUGGGGAACAACUAUUGGAAACGAUAGCUAAAACCGCAUACGCCCUGAGGGGGAAAUAUGUAUAGCUGUUUGAUGAGUCUGCGUUAGAUUAGCUAGUUGGUGAGGUAAUGGCUCACCAAGGCAACGAUCUAUAGCUGGUUUGAGAGGAUGACC